AGUCCUGAAAAGUUUCUUCAAAGAAACUCUCAGACUGGAACUGGUGCAGCUUUGCAGAGUGGAGCUCUCACUGUACUUCAAAGCAGAGAAAAUCUUGCAGCUGUCUGGAGCCCGCUUGCCCCAGGAGGUGUCACUGUUGGGACUAGCAGGGUGAGCUCCAGAUCUGCUCUUUAUUUUUUAAAGGCUACACUGACCACGAGGUAUGUAGUCUGCUAUUCAACACAUCUCCACAGUCUGCGUGAAGCUACAAGACCAGUCUUGGUCCGGAAGCCAGGAGAUCCUGCCUCUCUGCUCCUUGCUUUAACUCCACGUGCUUUGGAGGAGGAGUUAUCUGAGUUUCCCUCUCUGUAGAGCAGGAAUUCUAGCAUACAUGAAAUGUUCAGGGAACCUUGUUGGACAUUCGUGCAAAGGACAGUUUGAUGAUGUGAAAGGCCCAUUUAUUGUGGAGCAAGCUAAGACAGAAGAAUGAGCGAGUGAAGUUUAAGACUCAGAUCUGCAAACCUUUUGACAAUCCUAUGCCAAGGUUUGUGUAAUGAAACCAGAUGACUGAUGAGACCCGCCCUAAUGCUCCUGGGUUAUGUCCUGCCUGAUGGGCUGCCACAGAAGUGCUAAAACCAUCACACACAAAGGCACCAUGGGACACCCACCAUCAACAUGAGCUCUCUACCUGCCACUGGCACUAGCUGUCAGAACCGCUUUAUCUGAAAUCAAGAUAGUUAAAUUUCUAAAGGAUAAAAGGACUGGAAGAAAGUUCCCUAGUUCUUUUCACACGUCUGCACUUCUUGGUUUACAGUCUGUUCACUGCCUGGAAGGAGAAAAAGAAAAGAAAAUGAAGAAAAGAAGAACGAAUGUUAUGGCAUCCCUGCCUUCCUGAGCCUGGUAGUACAGCCAGUCACAGUCUCAGCCUUUUAUAGCUCAGCUUUCCCAGUAGUUUGAGGAGCAUUUCCUCCCAGCCUUGGCUCUCAGAUGUCAGAGCUGAUAGAGAAAUAAGGGAAAUGUCUUGGUAACUAGCAAUCUCUCGUGUUUUUUUCUAGGAUCUUGUGUUUCCCAUAAAAGAUAGUUUCUCUAGAGCAAGUUAAAAGGAAGACAUUUUGCAAGUUCAUUUGAAGAAUCUGCAUCAAAAAUAUGUUUGAGGGAUCUCCUUUAUGAUUCUGAAAACGAAGUUGUAAUGGAGCAGUCGUUUCUUAAGUUGUAUUUAUAAUGGGAAUUCUCAGAAAUCCCAAUCAGGAAUUAUUGCAGCAUUAUACGAGUCUGAAAUUCCUGGUAGCUCUAUGCUUAACACUUCCUAAGGCCCUAUGGCAGCCUAUGGUUUUCUGUUCACAUAUUUACUCUGUGUGACUGAAAUUUAUGUAGACUUUACUAUUUAUUUGAAUGAAAUUAACUGAUCUUUGGCCAUCUUGGACAAACCUGAAGAACUGAUUUAUUUAUUAUUGGGGACAAAUCUGGAAAAAUACUUAUGUUUAUCUGUAAUUUUCUUAUUUUUACCUUACUUGUUUAAGCACAGCGCUUUCCUGUGAAGUUUGUAUAGGAAUAUACUUGAAUGUUUUGCUAAGGUAAGUUCAAAGAUUGGAUCUGUUGCAAUAACAUAGGGGUGCUUUUUAAAAAUGGGAGGCAUUAAUUGUUUUUCCAUUUUCGACAGAGAAGUCCAGCACUGCAAUCCACAUAUUAAGAAUGAUCAAAUACUUUAACCAUUUGGUAGUUCCCCUCGGAUAUGUAUUGUGUUUAAAGGUUAAAGUAUGCCUUGGUGAAAAAAUGUUCAUCUGUAGCUGUUCAUUGCUAUUUUGUCAAUUGCUUCAGAUGUAAAAGUCUUUUUAUUUGGUUGAGUUUUGUUUAUUUCUCAAUGCUAAUUUUUUUCUGUAGUUUUCACCAUAUGCCAAUUUGGUAUUAUGCAUUACAGUGGGUUUGAAUUUUGGCUUCUCUUUGGAGUAUUUUACAAGCAGAGAGAUUUUACACACUAAAAUGCUUUCUGUAGAACACAGCUGUAAAAAAAAAAACAAAACCAAACCAAGGUGAAGUAAUUCAGUCUCCUUGAAAUGUAUUCUCUUCCAAAUGCGUUUAUGUAAUUUUACAUAAUUCUUUUGGCAGGAAACUUUAUUGCCCAGCUGGGUGAAAUUAUUAACGUACCUCUCAAGCUGCAUUUUCAAAGAUCAGUAAUAUAUAUAUAAACCUCUUUGAGUGCCCUUGAUGUGUACUAUUUUUAUUGGAGACCCUCAUUCUACUUCAGUAAAAGGAUGACACAAGUUGUUUACUUAAAAAAGAGUCUUUAACAUCAUCCUGAGAAUGUUUUGAUAGAAUGACAUACAUUUGGUUAGAAUUAAUAUGCCAAACAAUGUGUCAUUGUUAUCUUACUAUGUUUGACUAGAGCCUGUAAGGAGCUUUCAAAAAAUAUCCAUCUCCGUGUUUCAGUUAAUUGAUUGCAUGUUCAGUAGUAUUAUUCUGUUUUAUAAAACUCCCUGUCCUUUUAGUUUUAUCAGAGAGAUUUUGCACUAAGGGAUGUAGUAGAAAGCAAAAGGGAAAUAUUGGUAUGGCUAAGCAUGAAAAGAUAUUGUAGUUACAUCAAGGGUAAUAUUCCUUCUGUCUGUGGAAAAAAAUGCUAAUGUGUUCCUGCUACUUCUGGGUACAAGAUGUUAUACCUGAGGGCUGAAAGUAAUAGUUGCUGGUGUGAAAGCAUUCACCAAUAUCAAGUGCAGAUGAAUGCCUUCGGAGUCAGCUGAAAGCUGAGUUAAUUGUAUUUUAGCUUAAUAUUUGAACUUAUACUCCGUCUGGUAUAAUAAAUGAUGGGUGACUUAAUUUUAUUCAAACUUUAUUAGCAGUAUUCUUAAAGGACCCAAAUUCUUAUCUGACAUCUUUGCUGUGUUGCAAUUUGUUUCCUUAUUUGCCAUUUUAUGAGUAAUCUAAAAUUUCACUUUUCCUUUCCUGUAUUAGGUAAAAUACAGCUUACUGUUGAAUAUUUUACUUUCUACAGACUGGAGAAUCUCAGCUAAGAUAAUUAUCUGACUUCUUAGGUAGUAGGCAUAUCUUAGUUAGUACAUGCCAUAUUGCUAACAAUUGUUUGGUGGUGACAUGAUCAAGCCAGCUGUAAUGGAAAUUAGUCUCUAUGUCACAGAAAUUCUACAUGCAAUUUUCACUCUUUGGAAUCGCUGUAGUGCCAAGUUUAGGCCUGAGAGAAAAACCUGGUGGUCCUGUGCCUCCUUUAAUCAUCCUUUUUUGUUUACAGACUUAUUGGAGAAGCCACUGAUGACAAUUCUUGUAACAGCAGGUACACACUGGCAGCAGAGAAAUGCAGAGCUUGUAGUGUUAUUCUGCUUGAUAAAAUAAGUGUGUGUCCUUGAAGUCUCCUGUGUCUCUUCCCCGUCAGACUGGUAAAGUCAUGCUACUUUUAUGAAUUCUUGGUAGGAGUGGUCAAUACUGAAUAGAGUAAUUCCCUUUUUUAAUUGUAUCUUCAAGAAAACAGUACUUGAAAAGGUCUGCUAGGUUUCAUAUGGGUGCAGAGGAAGAAAAGUGUAAGAAAUUCCUCCUCCAGUAUGCAGCUGGAGGAGAUAGUACUUGAAGGCCACCUCUGCUUCUUCGUCAGAGUGGGAAAGGAGAGACUUGCACAGAAUUGCCCUCUGCUGCUGUCCUGCCCCAUGCUGCCCUCUGAGCACCAUGGCAGGAGGAGGUUGGUGUCAUGGGUCUCUGUACCACUGCGACACAACUUGCACCACGGCCAAUGGUGCAUCAACACUCUGUGCAACAAAAUCACAUUGUCUGGUGCCUUCAAAAAACAAGAGUUUGGGCCCCUCAGUGUAUUCAGCAGCGAAUUCACUCUUUUUCAUUUCCUUGUCAACAGAGUCAAGUUGUGUUAGUUCAUGUUCUCUAGAGCAGUUUGAAUUCAAUUUAGCUGGUUAUUAAGUUACUUUGUUCAAGUGAAUUGAACGCUGGUAGGAAUGUUUGUUCAAAGGGUUAACUUAACCUUCCCCAAGGUUGUAACAGACACUGGAAGAUCAAAAGCUCCUCCGAACUCUCAGAGAAAAAAAAAGUAUUGCUUCCUUUUGCAGUCUUCAGUCAAUGUCUUCCCUCUGCAAAGCGGGUUUGCGUUUAACAUACCUAAACUCAUGGUACAAACUAUUAGUUUUGUCUGUAAUCGUAAACAUAGUUUUUCGAGUGUUUCAGUUCUUUAGAUUUAUGCAGUAGCCAUGUUUGUCAAAGUAUUUGGCACCAGUGACAUCAUCUUUGUUGAAAUGCCGGACAGCAUGAUGAGUCCCAGAUGUUAACGCACACCAAAAGUCAAGAAAGAAUUAAAUGCAAAGAUCAACUGUAACAGCUAUAGAGGAAAUAAAAAGUGAUUCUGCUUUCUUCUAGUAUUCAAAGAUAAUUGGUUGUAUUUGUUUGAGGUUUGUUUUGCAUAAAUGAUCAAUCGAGGACUGCUUUGACUACUCUGCAUAUGCAGUAUAAGGGGAGACUGAGAUGUGAAUUUGGAGGAAUGCUGAGUAAAGCAUGAUUUGACUUCAUGAUUGCAUUAUUUUCUUUUCACAGAAGUGUGUUUAGGGCUUUAGGGGGAAAAAAUCAUACCGGUAGCCAGGCAUGCUUUCAUAUUAAAUGUACAUCUACCCAAGCAUUUCAUGUUGCCUACAUAUGGUAAAGAAAGCAUUAACAAAUAAUGUAUCAUUCCAUCUAGAGCAUCCUCAGCACUACAUAAGGCUGACCUGACUAAUAUUUUCACAAAAAAUCCGGCAGAGGCACACUCUUACAUUUCUACCAACAACACUUUCUUUAGAUCGUUCUGCUGUCUAGGUAGCGGUCGCCGUCAUGAAGAAUUAUUUCCCAUAUCCACAGUUUAAAAAUUGACUUUGAAAAUGCAUACCUAGUGGUCAAAUUUGUUUCCUUAAUUUACUGCAGUGGUUCUCUAGGCUUUUUAGGCAAAAGACAAACUGUAUUAAAGCCAUGGGGAGAGAAAGGAGAUUUAGAUUUUUUACUUGCAUUGGAGUAUUGCAUUAUGUAAAGAUGAAUAAUCCGUUGGAUGUAUAAGAUCUAUGUCACUCUCUUCUCUUAAAAGGCUUCACAUUAGAAAACAAUGUAGAAAUGCAUCAAAAUAUAACCUUUUUUUGGUUCUUAGAAGAUUAUUUGUCAUCUGUUUAUUUGGAAUGAAAGUUUUGAAAGUGCUUGACAUUAAUCUCAAUACACGUUUUCUAAAACCUGAAAGUAGAGAAAGUGGUGAUGAGGUCUGUGGUGUUGGUUGGUGGUGCAAUUUUCACUCUGCUGCUUGGU
Molecule: long non-coding RNA, 5247 nt
Organism: Cuculus canorus (common cuckoo)
Lineage: Eukaryota; Metazoa; Chordata; Aves; Cuculiformes; Cuculidae
Exons: 5
Source: RefSeq, a predicted model, not a curated record